RNAcentral lists this ribosomal RNA (1485 nucleotides) under metagenome. RNAcentral describes it as "bacterial LSU rRNA". It matches the Rfam family "Bacterial large subunit ribosomal RNA", at positions 1457 to 2925 of the family's 2925-position model. The record is from RNAcentral.
UCAAACGAUGGGGUGACGCAGGAAGGUAGCUGAACCCGGGCGAUGGUAGUCCCGGGGUAAGGAUGUAGGGCGAGACGUAGGCAAAUCCGCGUCUCACAUGCCUGAGAUCCGAUGCCGAGCCGAUUAGGCGAGGUCAGUGAUCCUAUGCUGCCGAGAAAAGCCUCUAGUGAGUGGCACCGCGGCCCGUACCCCAAACCGACACAGGUGGUCAGGUAGAGAAUACCAAGGCGAUCGAGUGAACCAUGGUUAAGGAACUCGGCAAAAUGCCCCCGUAACUUCGGGAGAAGGGGGGCCCCGACCGGUGACAGGACUUGCUCCUGAAGCUGGCUGAGGCCGCAGAGACCAGGCUGAAGCGACUGUUACUAAAAACACAGGUCCAUGCCAAGUCGCAAGACGAUGUAUAUGGACUGACGCCUGCCCGGUGUUGGAACGUUAAGGGGACGGGUUAGCGCGCAAGCGCGAAGCUCAGAACUUAAGCGCCAGUAAACGGCGGUGGUAACCUUAACCAUCCUAAGGUAGCGAAAUUCCUUGUCGGGUAAGUUCCGACCUGCACGAAUGGCGUAACGACUUCAGCGCUGUCUCAACCGUGGACUCGGCGAAAUUACACUACGAGUAAAGAUGCUCGUUACGCGCGGCAGGACGAAAAGACCCCGGGACCUUUACUAUAGCUUUGUAUUGGUGGUUGGUUCGGCUUGUGUAGGAUAGGUGGGAGACUGUGAAGCAGGGACGCCAGUUCUUGUGGAGUCGUCCUUGAAAUACCACUCUGGUCGUACUGGCUGUCUAACCUAGGUCCGUGAUCCGGAUCAGGGACAGUGCAUGGUGGGUAGUUUAACUGGGGCGGUUGCCUCCUAAAGAGUAACGGAGGCGCUCAAAGGUUCCCUCAGCCUGGUUGGCAAUCAGGUGUCGAGUGCAAGUGCACAAGGGAGCUUGACUGUGAGACCGACGGGUCGAGCAGGGACGAAAGUCGGAACUAGUGACCCGGCGUCGGCAUGUGGAAGCGACGUCGCUCAACGGAUAAAAGGUACCCCGGGGAUAACAGGCUGAUCUUCCCCAAGAGUCCAUAUCGACGGGAUGGUUUGGCACCUCGAUGUCGGCUCGUCGCAUCCUGGGGCUGGAGUAGGUCCCAAGGGUUGGGCUGUUCGCCCAUUAAAGCGGUACGCGAGCUGGGUUUAGAACGUCGUGAGACAGUUCGGUCCCUAUCCGCCGUGCGCGUAAGAGUCUUGAGAAGGGCUGUCCCUAGUACGAGAGGACCGGGACGGACGAACCUCUGGUGUGCCAGUUGUCCUGCCAAGGGCACGGCUGGUUGGCUACGUUCGGAACGGAUAACCGCUGAAAGCAUCUAAGCGGGAAGCCGGCUUCAAGAUGAGGACUCUCAUCGGGUUAACCGGGUAAGGCCCCCAGCGAGACCACUGGUUGAUAGGCCGGAGGUGGAAGUGCAGCAAUGCAUGGAGCUGACCGGUACUAAUAGGCCGAGGGCUUGACCAC